RNAcentral lists this ribosomal RNA (1026 nucleotides) under Saccharomyces cerevisiae (brewer's yeast). Its description in RNAcentral is "SSU rRNA". It matches the Rfam family "Eukaryotic small subunit ribosomal RNA", at positions 81 to 1115 of the family's 1831-position model. The record is from RNAcentral. Lineage: Eukaryota; Fungi; Ascomycota; Saccharomycetes; Saccharomycetales; Saccharomycetaceae.
GUGAAACUGCGAAUGGCUCAUUAAAUCAGUUAUCGUUUAUUUGAUAGUUCCUUUACUACAUGGUAUAACUGUGGUAAUUCUAGAGCUAAUACAUGCUUAAAAUCUCGACCCUUUGGAAGAGAUGUAUUUAUUAGAUAAAAAAUCAAUGUCUUCGGACUCUUUGAUGAUUCAUAAUAACUUUUCGAAUCGCAUGGCCUUGUGCUGGCGAUGGUUCAUUCAAAUUUCUGCCCUAUCAACUUUCGAUGGUAGGAUAGUGGCCUACCAUGGUUUCAACGGGUAACGGGGAAUAAGGGUUCGAUUCCGGAGAGGGAGCCUGAGAAACGGCUACCACAUCCAAGGAAGGCAGCAGGCGCGCAAAUUACCCAAUCCUAAUUCAGGGAGGUAGUGACAAUAAAUAACGAUACAGGGCCCAUUCGGGUCUUGUAAUUGGAAUGAGUACAAUGUAAAUACCUUAACGAGGAACAAUUGGAGGGCAAGUCUGGUGCCAGCAGCCGCGGUAAUUCCAGCUCCAAUAGCGUAUAUUAAAGUUGUUGCAGUUAAAAAGCUCGUAGUUGAACUUUGGGCCCGGUUGGCCGGUCCGAUUUUUUCGUGUACUGGAUUUCCAACGGGGCCUUUCCUUCUGGCUAACCUUGAGUCCUUGUGGCUCUUGGCGAACCAGGACUUUUACUUUGAAAAAAUUAGAGUGUUCAAAGCAGGCGUAUUGCUCGAAUAUAUUAGCAUGGAAUAAUAGAAUAGGACGUUUGGUUCUAUUUUGUUGGUUUCUAGGACCAUCGUAAUGAUUAAUAGGGACGGUCGGGGGCAUCAGUAUUCAAUUGUCAGAGGUGAAAUUCUUGGAUUUAUUGAAGACUAACUACUGCGAAAGCAUUUGCCAAGGACGUUUUCAUUAAUCAAGAACGAAAGUUAGGGGAUCGAAGAUGAUCAGAUACCGUCGUAGUCUUAACCAUAAACUAUGCCGACUAGGGAUCGGGUGGUGUUUUUUUAAUGACCCACUCGGCACCUUACGAGAAAUCAAAGUCUUUGGGUUCU